CAAAUCAAUCUUAUUAGUUAAGGUUUUCAUUUACACUGAAAUAAAUGUCGUGCAAGUCGAUAUGAUUUGA
RNAcentral lists this transfer RNA (70 nucleotides) under Pycnoscelus femapterus. RNAcentral describes it as "tRNA-Val". Lineage: Eukaryota; Metazoa; Arthropoda; Insecta; Blattodea; Blaberidae. The record is from RNAcentral.